AAGUCGUAACAAGGUUUCCGUAGGUGAACCUGCGGAANGACCAUUACCUAGAGUUUGUAGACUUCGGUCUGCUACCUCUUACCCAUGUCUUUUGAGUACCUUCGUUUCCUCGGCGGGUCCGCCCGCCGAUUGGACAACAUUCAAACCCUUUGCAGUUGCAAUCAGCGUCUGAAAAAACAUAAUAGUUACAACUUUCAACAACGGAUCUCUUGGUUCUGGCAUCGAUGAAGAACGCAGCGAAAUGCGAUAAGUAGUGUGAAUUGCAGAAUUCAGUGAAUCAUCGAAUCUUUGAACGCACAUUGCGCCCCUUGGUAUUCCAUGGGGCAUGCCUGUUCGAGCGUCAUUUGUACCUUCAAGCUCUGCUUGGUGUUGGGUGUUUGUCUCGCCUCUGCGUGUAGACUCGCCUUAAAACAAUUGGCAGCCGGCGUAUUGAUUUCGGAGCGCAGUACAUCUCGCGCUUUGCACUCAUAACGACGACGUCCAAAAGUACAUUUUUACACUCUUGACCUCGGAUCAGGUAGGGAUACCCGCUGAACUUAAGCAUAUCA
RNAcentral lists this ribosomal RNA (548 nucleotides) under uncultured fungus. RNAcentral's name for it is "eukaryotic LSU rRNA". The stretch from base 190 to 343 matches the Rfam family "5.8S ribosomal RNA". Lineage: Eukaryota; Fungi. The record is from RNAcentral.